UAACAAAGAAGAAGCGAGACGGAGACGUUAAGCGAAACCCAAAAAAGUAAGUCUCAGUUCGGAUUGAAGGCUGAAAUUCGCCUUCAUGAAGCCGGAAUUGCUAGUAAUGGCAGGUCAGCAUACUGCCGUGAAUACGUUCCCGGGCCUUGUACACACCGCCCGUCACACCAUGAGAGUUGGGAAUACCCGAAGCCUGUGAGCUAACUUUAAGAGGCAGCAGUCGAAGGUAGAAUCAAUGAUUGGGGUGAAGUCGUAACAAGGUAGC
This 265-nucleotide ribosomal RNA is filed under the name uncultured bacterium. RNAcentral describes it as "partial 16S ribosomal RNA". It matches the Rfam family "Bacterial small subunit ribosomal RNA", at positions 1235 to 1500 of the family's 1533-position model. The record is from RNAcentral.